This 78-nucleotide transfer RNA is filed under the name Alphaproteobacteria bacterium. RNAcentral describes it as "tRNA-Asp". It matches the Rfam family "tRNA". Rfam says of the family: Transfer RNA (tRNA) molecules are approximately 80 nucleotides in length. Their secondary structure includes four short double-helical elements and three loops (D, anti-codon, and T loops). Further hydrogen bonds mediate the characteristic L-shaped molecular structure. tRNAs have two regions of fundamental functional importance: the anti-codon, which is responsible for specific mRNA codon recognition, and the 3' end, to which the tRNAs corresponding amino acid is attached (by aminoacyl-tRNA synthetases). tRNAs cope with the degeneracy of the genetic code in two manners: having more than one tRNA (with a specific anti-codon) for a particular amino acid; and 'wobble' base-pairing, i.e. permitting non-standard base-pairing at the 3rd anti-codon position. The record is from RNAcentral. Lineage: Bacteria; Pseudomonadati; Pseudomonadota; Alphaproteobacteria.
GGGGGUGUAGCUCAGUUGGUUAGAGCGCUGGCCUGUCACGCCAGAGAGCCGCGGGUUCGAGUCCCGUCACUCCCGCCA